GCCGUCGUAGCUCAAUUGGAAGAGCAGCUCGCUUCGAACGAGCAGGUUGAUUGGGUUCAAGUCCCUCCGGCGGUACCA
Molecule: transfer RNA, 78 nt
Filed under: Nitrosomonadaceae bacterium
Lineage: Bacteria; Pseudomonadati; Pseudomonadota; Betaproteobacteria; Nitrosomonadales; Nitrosomonadaceae
Description: tRNA-Arg
Rfam family: tRNA
About the family: Transfer RNA (tRNA) molecules are approximately 80 nucleotides in length. Their secondary structure includes four short double-helical elements and three loops (D, anti-codon, and T loops).
Source: RNAcentral